RNAcentral lists this ribosomal RNA (492 nucleotides) under uncultured bacterium. Its description in RNAcentral is "partial 16S ribosomal RNA". It matches the Rfam family "Bacterial small subunit ribosomal RNA", at positions 29 to 507 of the family's 1533-position model. The record is from RNAcentral.
AGUGAGCGCUGGCGGUAGGCCUAACACAUGCAAGUCGAACGGCAGCACAGUAAGAGCUUGCUCUUACGGGUGGCGAGUGGCGGACGGGUGAGGAAUACAUCGGAAUCUACUUUUUCGUGGGGGAUAACGUAGGGAAACUUACGCUAAUACCGCAUACGACCUACGGGUGAAAGCAGGGGAUCUUCGGACCUUUCGCUAUUGAAUGAGCCGAUGUCGGAUUAGCUAGUUGGCGGGGUAAAGGCCCACCAAGGCGACGAUCCGUAGAUGGUCUGAGAGGAUGAUCAGCCACACUGGAACUGAGACACGGUCCAGACUCCUACGGGAGGAAGCAGUGGGGAAUAUUGGACAAUGGGCGCAAGCCUGAUCCAGCAAUACCGCGUGGGUGAAGAAGGCCUUCGGGUUGUAAAGCCCUUUUGUUGGGAAAGAAAAGCAGCAGGUUAAUACCCCGCUGUUCUGACGGUACCCAAAGAAUAAGCACCGGCUAACUUCGUG